GAAGCAGGAGGACUAUAGCAGGAAAGGAAAGUAGUGGUUUAAUCCUCCACCCAGAGAGAUGGCAGAAUUGGAAGCAGGGUGCCGCUGGGACAAAGCGCUUUGUGACUGGUGAGCCUCUUCUGAUCAGUUCUUUCACAAAGAGGAGCGAUGGACAGCAUUCUGUGAAUUACAGAAUCACAGGAUUUAGAGACUGUGAAUUCCUUGAGAGCAGGAAAUAUCUUUUGUCCUUCUCCAGCAUUUUUAAGAAUGUAUGCUCCAUGAUAUUGAAGCUAAGACAAGAACCCAACUCAGUGAUCUUUCUACUACACUACAGUGCUGGUUGCAGGCUGCCAAAUCUUCUAAGUGACCCUUUCUUCCUCCAGCCAAUAGAAGUUUCUCCUCCCACCACCCUUUCUCUAUCCCUUUGGCCUGCUUCUCUGGGCAGCUGAGGGAAUGGCAUCAUGAAGUGGCAAGAAGGUUGGAUAUAGAAGAUUCAGGAAAACUGGCUUCAUAUCUAGGCUCCCGCACUUACUCACCAUGGCCCCAAUCACUUAACAUCU
This is a non-coding RNA of Phascolarctos cinereus (koala), 539 nucleotides long. The record is from RefSeq and is a predicted model, not a curated record. Lineage: Eukaryota; Metazoa; Chordata; Mammalia; Diprotodontia; Phascolarctidae.